CUUCAAUCCAUACCAUUUUUUGUUUACCUUUCCUCUUUAUCUCUCCUGUUACACUGAAACUUUUGCUUCACCAAAUCCUUUGUAAUUGGUUUUUGUGAGUUUUGCAGUCUAAUAUUUCACAUGUUGUUUUCUGUGAGUUUUAUAGUCCGUUCUUCCAAAAGAAAUGACUUCACUGUCAAUCCCUUGGUAAAACGUAGAUCUUGCUUCUGUAAUAUUCUCAUACUUUUGGUUGCAUAACAGAAUAGCUAUAUGGGCCAUGAAAUGUCCCUUUUGCAAACGUGUGGAAUAACUGUUCUAUGGUGUAACUGUUUCACUUCUAAAAUUUUAACUGAAGUUGAGAUUGUGGAUAGCUAUUAUGUGAAACAACUUUUGCGUCUACAAUUUGAAUCGAAAUGGAGAAUAACUAUUUAAUAUGAAAUUGCUGUUUUGUUCCCCUACCAUUCCAUGAAGGCAUGAACCAAACAAAGCCUUAAUGUUGUUGAAUGUGAUGAAUUGGCUCUUUGAUUGAAACUAUAAUAAUUGCCAUGUGCCGUAAUUGGUCAAACUUUUGUCUUGUAUAGCUUUCCCUUUAACUUAGCAAGGACUUUGCCAUUACAUCAGACUUUUGUCGCACUUCUCCAUUUCAUCCUUCAAUCCUUCAAGUUUUCUUCUUAUUUUUUUUAUCAAAGAUGCAAGGAAUUGAAUGAUCACAUUGGUGGGACUUGUGCUCCAACGAGAUUCACAUCACUCCACUCUUUUCCCUUACAUUGCUAAAAUUGGAGAAUGCAAUUUGGACUCUUCUUAUCUUCAAUGCCUUAAUGUUCUAGUCAGUCAUGUUCUAGCUUCUUACCCUAAAUCAGGUUUUUUCUAUUGGCACUAUGUCAUCGUCAAAGCAUGCUCUAAGAAUUAUUGCAUAUACUUUGUCAAUCAGAGAGAGUCCUUUCCUUUCCAACACCUAUCAUAAAUUAUCUUUCAGAACAAUAUUUCAAGCCUGUUUUAAUCAGUAAAAACCAUUUGCAUUUCUCUUCUCUCUGUUCUGUACUUUUGUACUAAUUCAUUCCUUUAUGAGAAAGAUGGACCGCUAGUGAAUUUUUUCUAGCAUGAAACCAAACUGAUUCAGAGAUUGCGGAUGGACUUCUUAGUCUAUACUUCAUUACUCUAUCCCUAAAUUUCAUAUUUUCCCUUAUUCUUAAACCUUGAGGAUAGGAAACGAGGCUCCUUCUGUUAGAGCCAUAUGCUUUUUUUCUUAUAAAAUACAAUCAUUGAUUUGACUUUAUUAUAGUUAAUAAUGUUAGCAAAAAAACACCUAUAAACUUAUGAAGAUUAGAAAAAUAGAGAGAGAAACAUGAACUCAAGAAUUUAAUGUGGUUUGGCAAGUAUGCUACGUCCACCCAUAGUUGCUUGCUUUCACUAUUGAAAGGAGAAUAUUACAGCCCUAUUUAUA
RNAcentral lists this unclassified non-coding RNA (1423 nucleotides) under Hevea brasiliensis (rubber tree). Lineage: Eukaryota; Viridiplantae; Streptophyta; Magnoliopsida; Malpighiales; Euphorbiaceae. The record is from RNAcentral.